AUUGAACGCUGGCGGCAUGCUUUACACAUGCAAGUCGAACGGUAACAGGGUGCUUGCACCGCUGACGAGUGGCGAACGGGUGAGUAAUGCGUCGGAACGUGCCGAGUAGUGGGGGAUAACGCAGCGAAAGUUGUGCUAAUACCGCAUACGUACUGAGGUAGAAAGUGGGGGACCUUCGGGCCUCACGCUAUUCGAGCGGCCGACGUCUGAUUAGCUAGUAGGUGAGGUAAAGGCUCACCUAGGCGACGAUCAGUAGCGGGUCUGAGAGGAUGAUCCGCCACACUGGGACUGAGACACGGCCCAGACUCCUACGGGAGGCAGCAGUGGGGAAUUUUGGACAAUGGGCGAAAGCCUGACGCAGCGACGCCGCGUGGAGGAUGAAGGUCUUCGGAUUGUAAACUUCUGUUAAGCGGGAAGAAAGUUCUGCUUCUAAUACAAGCAGGUUAUGACGGUACCGCUAAAGAAAGCACCGGCUAACUUCGUGCCAGCAGCCGCCGUAA
RNAcentral lists this ribosomal RNA (500 nucleotides) under uncultured bacterium. RNAcentral's name for it is "partial 16S ribosomal RNA". It matches the Rfam family "Bacterial small subunit ribosomal RNA", at positions 30 to 523 of the family's 1533-position model. The record is from RNAcentral.